Molecule: long non-coding RNA, 648 nt
Filed under: Equus caballus (horse)
Lineage: Eukaryota; Metazoa; Chordata; Mammalia; Perissodactyla; Equidae
Description: lncRNA (ENSECAG00000056376.1)
Source: RNAcentral
UGACACUAAAAAUACUGAUGUCUGGGUCCCAUCCCCAGAAAUUAUGAUUUAGUUGGUCUGAGGUGGUGUUUAAAAAGAUCUCCAGGUGAUCCUAAUCUGCAGCAAAGCUAAGAACCCCUGACCCGGAGCAGUGCCUCUCUAACUUGAAUGUGUGUGCAAUUCACCUUGAGAAACGCAGGCCUGGAGUGGAGCCUGGUAUCCUGCAUCCCUAAGGAGCCCCCAGGUCUUCACACGCUCCCAACAAGCUGUCUCUGAUUUCUGGAAAGCAGCCCUCAACUGAGACAGGAAUUGGUGAUUAAAUGCUCCCAACUCCCUUGCCCGUUGGGAAGUGGGGACAAUCAUGACGCACGUUCUCCACUGUCUCCCAGAGUCUCCAGCAGGACUGAGUUCCACAGUGAUCACCUGCAUGUCUAGGUCUUACCCGCCAUUCUCCUGCAGAGGGCGCUGUUUCCCUCAUCGAGCACUGCCUUGCGGGACCUCGGCCGCGCUCAACCGACACUGAGUAUUCCCGCCCUUUCUGCAGGAGAGGCAGACCUGCUGCCCAGUGGGACAGUUCUUUCUGAUGCCAAAAGGAGAGCUUGUUUUUCACAAUGAAAACAUGUGUUGUUCCAGUUGGCAGAGUCAAGAUCAGUAGGUAGAAAUGCAGAA